AGAGUUGAUCAUGGCUCAGGAUGAACGCUAGCGACAGGCUUAACACAUGCAAGUCGAGGGGCAGCACGGGAGUAGCAAUACAACUGGUGGCGACCGGCGCACGGGUGAGUAACGCGUAUGCAACCUACCUAUCGAGAGGGAAUAACCCGGCGAAAGUCGGACUAAUACCGCAUAAAACAGGGGCACCGCAUGGUGAUAUUUGUUAAAGAAAUUCGCUGAUAGAUGGGCAUGCGUUCCAUUAGGUAGUUGGUGAGGUAACGGCUCACCAAGCCGACGAUGGAUAGGGGAACUGAGAGGUUGGUCCCCCACACUGGUACUGAGACACGGACCAGACUCCUACGGGAGGCAGCAGUGAGGAAUAUUGGUCAAUGGGCGGGAGCCUGAACCAGCCAAGUCGCGUGAAGGAAGAAGGAUCUAUGGUUCGUAAACUUCUUUUGCAGGGGAAUAAAGUGCAGGACGUGUCCUGUUUUGUAUGUACCCUGAGAAUAAGGAUCGGCUAACUCCGUGCCAGCAGCCGC
Molecule: ribosomal RNA, 518 nt
Filed under: uncultured bacterium
Lineage: Bacteria
Description: bacterial SSU rRNA
Rfam family: Bacterial small subunit ribosomal RNA
Source: RNAcentral